UACGCCAGUGCGUUGCCUACCCUUCAGGU
This 29-nucleotide small RNA is filed under the name Bombyx mori (domestic silkworm). RNAcentral describes it as "ovarian small RNA-21057". The record is from RNAcentral. Lineage: Eukaryota; Metazoa; Arthropoda; Insecta; Lepidoptera; Bombycidae.